This 130-nucleotide small nuclear RNA is filed under the name Meleagris gallopavo (turkey). RNAcentral describes it as "U1 spliceosomal RNA (ENSMGAG00000019690.1)". It matches the Rfam family "U1 spliceosomal RNA", at positions 1 to 131 of the family's 166-position model. From Rfam's summary of the family: U1 is a small nuclear RNA (snRNA) component of the spliceosome (involved in pre-mRNA splicing). Its 5' end forms complementary base pairs with the 5' splice junction, thus defining the 5' donor site of an intron. The record is from Rfam by way of RNAcentral. Lineage: Eukaryota; Metazoa; Chordata; Aves; Galliformes; Phasianidae.
AUACUUACCUGGCAGGGGAGACACCAUGAUCAGGCAGGUGGUUUUCCCAGGGCGAGGCUCAUCCCCUGCACUCCGGGUGUGCUGACCCCUGCGAUUUCCCCAAAUGCGGGAAACUCGACUGCAUAAUUUG